RNAcentral lists this non-coding RNA (21 nucleotides) under Caenorhabditis elegans. Lineage: Eukaryota; Metazoa; Nematoda; Chromadorea; Rhabditida; Rhabditidae. The record is from RNAcentral.
UUAAAGAAAUUUUAAAAUAAA